UACGUAGGGUCCAAGCGUUGUCCGGAGUUACUGGGCGUAAAGAGCGCGCAGGCGGUCGUUCAAGUCGAGUGUGAAAGCCCCCGGCUCAACUGGGGAGGGUCACUCGAUACUGAUCGACUCGAAGGCAGGAGAGGGUAGUGGAAUUCCCGGUGUAGUGGUGAAAUGCGCAGAUAUCAGGAGGAACACCAAUGGCGAAGGCAGCUCGCUGGGACGUGACUGACGCUGAGACGCGAAAGCGUGGGGAGCAAACAGG
This 253-nucleotide ribosomal RNA is filed under the name uncultured bacterium. Its description in RNAcentral is "partial 16S ribosomal RNA". It matches the Rfam family "Bacterial small subunit ribosomal RNA", at positions 524 to 776 of the family's 1533-position model. The record is from RNAcentral.